Molecule: long non-coding RNA, 3703 nt
Organism: Eriocheir sinensis (Chinese mitten crab)
Lineage: Eukaryota; Metazoa; Arthropoda; Malacostraca; Decapoda; Varunidae
Exons: 2
Source: RefSeq, a predicted model, not a curated record
UAUACAAGGACAUACACUUGCUUACAGGGGGGCAUUACAGGGGCUGGGAGAUAUUUCCUCGGCCAGGGCACAUAGGAAUACAUGGCACACUGGGUUACAGGGGGCAGGGUACGGAUGUGUUUGCCAGGGGAGAGAGGAGUGUGAGGAAGGGAUACUGACAGGGAUGAAAUUCUAGGGUACAGGGUGACAGGGAAGGGCUAGGAAACGGGGCAUACUGGAUUACAGGGGGCAGGGUACGGAGGUGUUUGCCAGGGGAGAGAGGAGUGUGAGGAAGGGUUACCGAUACAGGGAUGGAAAACAGGGUAGAAUUCUAGGGUACAGGGUGACAGGGAGGGGCAUACUGGGUUACAGGGGGCAGGGUACGGAUGUGUUUGCCAGGGGAUAGGGUCGUGUGAAGAAGAGUUAUCGAUACAGGGAUGGAAAACAGGGUAGAAUUCUAGGGUACAGGGUGACAGGGACCAAGACAGAGAAGAUUAGGUUAGUGUGACUUAUUCAAAAGUUAUGCAAUGGGAGUUUAAGUAGAGGGAAAUAUUAACUUUAAAUGGAAAAAUUGAAAGGGGAGAGAGAGAUUGAGAGCGCUUCUGUGGACAUACUAACAGACAAAAGCAAUUUCCAAGACACAUAAGAUUAGGGAACUCUGGCUUAUUGAAAAGUUAUGCAAUGGGAGUUUAGGUAGAGGGAAUUAUUAUCUUUAAAAGGAAAAACAGGAAGGGAAAAAAGAGCUGGAAAAACUGAUAGAUAGAUAGAUUUCCAAGACAAAGAAGAGAAGGAUAUUUUGGCUUAUAGGACAAUAAUGAAAGGUGAGUUUGAGUAGAGGGAAAUAUCAUCUUUAAAAAGGAAAAACAGGAAGGGAAAAAAGAGAUGGAAAGACUGACAGAAAGAUAGAUUUCCAAAACAAAGAAGAGAAGGAUAUUUUGGCUUAUAGGAAAAUAAUGAAAGGCGAGUUUGAGUAGAGGGAAAUAUCAUCUUUAAAAAGGAAAAACAGGAAGGGAAAAAGAGCUGGAAAAACUGAUAGAUAGAGAGAUUUCCAAGACAAAGAUUAGGUUAGUUCAGUUUACAGGGAAAUAACGCAAUGGGACUUAAAUCACAUAACAGGAAACAUUAACAAGGAGAUAAAACCGGGACAAAACGAAGGUGCUGAAGAGGAGAAUGGAAGACAGCUUGUGGGUUUGGAUCCUACAGAAGACCCUCUAGAGAAGAAAGUAUAGAGGAUUGGAAACUACAUGAGAGGGAUCCAGUCUUAUGCGGGUUACACACUCAAAUGCAGCGCCUUAGAGUAGUUAGGUCACACACUAAGUAGAUAAAAAUCACAUCCGGUGAAAGACUCAUGAAUCACUCGCUACUGGUGCGCCACUCACUCACUCAUCAAGGCUAACGUGAAACUCAUUAAGGUCUAGGUGGUAAGAAUUACGUAUUAUUGUCUACCCGAAAAAAUAUCAAACUAAGGAAUAAAUUAAGUUAGAGAAUGUUAUGAGGAUAGACUAAAAAAUAUUGUUGUCUACCCCGAAAAAUGUUAAAAUUAGGAAUAAGUUAGAGAAUGUUAUAAGGAUAGACUAAAAAACAUUGUUGUCUACCCCGAAAAAUGUCAAACUAAGGAAUAAGUUAGAGAAUGUUAAAAGGAUAGACUAAAAAAUAUUGCUGUCUACCCCGAAAAAUGUUAAACUAAGGAAUAAGUUAGAGAAUGUUAAAAGGAUAGACUAAAAAAUAUUGUUGUCUACCCCGAAAAAUGUUAAACUAAGGAAUAAGUUAGAGAAUGUUAAAAGGAUAGACUAAAAAAUAUUAUUGUCUACCCGAAAAAUGUCAAACUAAGGAAUAAAUUAAGUUAGAGAAUGUUAAAAGGAUAGACUAAAAAAUAUUGUUGUCUACCCCAAAAAAUGUUAAAAUUAGGAAUAAGUUAGAGAAUGUUAUAAGGAUAGACUAAAAAAUAUUGUUGUCUACCCCAAAAAAUGUUAAAAUUAGGAAUAAGUUAGAGAAUGUUAUAAGGAUAGACUAAAAAAUGUUGUUGUCUAUCCCGAAAAAUGUCAAACUAAGGAAGAAGUUAGAGAAUGUUAAAAGGAAAGACUAAAAUAUAUUGUUGUCUACCCCGAAAAAUGUCAAACUAAGGAAUAAAUUAAGUUAGAGAAUGUUAUAAGGAUAGACUAAAAAAUAUUGUUGUCUACCCCGAAAAAUGUUAAACUAAGGAAUAAGUUAGAGAAUGUUAAAAGGAUAGACUAAAAAAAUAUUGUUGUCUACCCCCAAAAAAUAUCAAACUAAGGAAUAAAUUAAGUUAGAGAAUGUUAAAAGGAUAGACUAUAAAAUAUUGUUGUCUACCCCGAAAAAAUAUCAAACUAAGGAAUAAAUUAAGUUAGAGAAUGUUAAAAGGAUAGACUAUAAAAUAUUGUUGUCUACCCCGAAAAAAUAUCAAACUAAGGAAUAAAUUAAGUUAGAGAAUGUUAAAAGGAUAGACUAAAAAAUAUUGUUGUCUACCCCGAAAAAUGUCAAACUAAGGAAUAAAUUAGAGAAUGUUAAAAGGAUAGACUAAAAUAUAUUGUUGUCUACCCCAAAAAACGUUAAACUCAAGGAAAUACUGAAGUGACGGUUAUAAAUAAGGCAAGAGGUCAAAUUUUAUGACAUUGGAUGGACUAAUAAAUGUUGAACUAAAGGAAUAAAUUACUGAUAAAUGAGAAAAUGUUAUGAUUGAGACAAAAGGUAAAAAUGCAUGAUAUUGGAUAGCUUAAAAAAAUAUAAUUGUCUACCCUCCAAAAAUAUUAAAAUAAGGAAUAUAUUAAAUGAGAGAAUGUUAUGAUUUAGACAAGUGGUAAAAAUGUAUAAUUAUUGGAUAAACUAAAAAAAAUAUCUACCCCCCAAAAUACUAAAGAAAUAAAUUACCGAUAAAUGAAAUAAAUGAAUGUUGUGAUUUAAAUAAUAAGUGAAAAUGUAUAAUUAUUGGAUAAACUAAAAAAAAUAUCAUCUACCCCCAAAAAUACUAAACUAAGGAAAUAAAUUACUGAUAAAUGAAAUAAAUGAAUGUUGUGAUUUAAAUAAUAAGUGAAAAUGUAUUAAAUGGGAACUAAAAAAAUAGGACUUUGUUAAAAUAUAAACACACAAUCAUUAAUACACAGAACAAAUAAAAUAAAAUAGGAAAAUAUAUACUGCCCUAAAAUAUCAUAAAUCACACACAAAAAAAAGAAAUUAAAAGAAAAAAAAGGAGAACAAGAAAUAAAGAAAAUACAGAUAGAACAAAUAACAAAAUAAAGAGAAAUGCUGAAAAAAAAAAUAAUUAGGAACAAAAAAAAAUCACAUUAAAAAAAGGAAAAAUAAACAAGAAAACUUAAACCCACUAAAAAGAAGAUAUACAAAAAAAAUAGAUGAAUGAAUAAAUAAACAAAUAACCUCAACACAAACCAACCAAACAAAGAAACAAAUCCACAAACAACUACAACCAACAAACAAGAACAAACACACAAACACACAAUACGUACACAAACAUCUCUUUACAAACACUACACCAAAAGUCUACAAAAAAAUAUUGAUACUAAUAAACACAUUACUAUUUUACUACGACAAACCAAAAUGCUGUGAGAGUACUAGAGUAAAGGAGUUUAGGGGAGGAACAAGGGAAAGGGGGCAAGAUGGGUCAAGUUGGGUUGGUAGGGAAGACAACCAAGAACCAAGUUGACCAAGCUAGGGCAAGAUGGGGCAAGUUGGGUUGGUAGGGAAGACA